This 851-nucleotide long non-coding RNA is filed under the name Homo sapiens (human). RNAcentral describes it as "novel transcript". The record is from RNAcentral. Lineage: Eukaryota; Metazoa; Chordata; Mammalia; Primates; Hominidae.
AGCAGAGAGGAAGGAAAUGAAGCUUCCUGCUGGCUGAAGCUGCUCACCCAAAAGAAAGGGAAUUAGAUAAAGUGAAAGGUAUUUCUCAGAGAUGGGCCCAAAGCUGCUUCUGUUUCCUUGUGGCCUCAGGCUGGCUCUAGCUAGUAGGACACCAUGACCCAGAGUAACUAAAGGGAAUUAUUGGCAUCCUCCCACGAGCUCCUACCAGGCCAGUGCCAGAAACACUCAUCUACUCCCUUAUGGAAGAUCACUGAGUCAUGAGAUCUGUGGUUUGUCUGAUUCUCCACUUCCCGAAGCCAGCCAAGGCUAACCGACCUGGGAUUCUGAGAGACUGUCCAGAGGUUGGAGGUCUGGAGGAAGAGGACUCCCUCUUUUACUUCAUUCAGUUGUCCCCCACAUCCUCAGCAGUAGAAGUGUUUCUUGCCAUUUUAGCUUUCAGAGGCCAGUCUCAUUUUGUCCAGCAAUGACAGCAACAGCAAAACCUUCCUUUGGCCCUCAUUCACAAUACAGUGUUCUGGGAGGAGGCGGCUGACCAGCUGACUGCAGUGAUGAAGAAAGGAGUGUCCCACAGGACUCUGAUUCAGCAGGGACCUCCAGAGCUUCUGACUCAUGGGGGUGUGCUCCCAAGGGACAUAGGUGUGUCUUCAAGUGCCAAGAAUGAAUGGGAACUGGCUUCUGCACUUGGCCCUGUGAGAACAGCCUAAGCCAAGGGAGGGGAGAUUCUAAAAGAAAUGACUGUAAUUAAAGGUAGAAAAAAGUGGAUGAGUCAAAAAAAUGUAUAAAUAGUGUUUAAUAUUCAACUUAGUACUUAAUUAAAUAUUGUCUUCUAUUAUUUAUAUUCACUACAAGUA